GCCCGCUUGGCUAAGUGGUAUAGCGUGUCACUAGUAUUCCAACUAGAUGUCAUGACAAGAUCAGCGGUUCGAUUCCGCUAGUGGGCA
This 87-nucleotide transfer RNA is filed under the name Xylaria palmicola. RNAcentral describes it as "tRNA-Thr". It matches the Rfam family "tRNA". From Rfam's summary of the family: Transfer RNA (tRNA) molecules are approximately 80 nucleotides in length. The record is from RNAcentral. Lineage: Eukaryota; Fungi; Ascomycota; Sordariomycetes; Xylariales; Xylariaceae.